Molecule: ribosomal RNA, 406 nt
Filed under: uncultured bacterium
Lineage: Bacteria
Description: partial 16S ribosomal RNA
Rfam family: Bacterial small subunit ribosomal RNA
Source: RNAcentral
AUUGAACGCUGGCGGCAGGCUUAACACAUGCAAGUCGAACGAGUGGCGGACGGGUGAGUAAUGUCUGGGAAACUGCCAGAUGGAGGGGGAUAACUACUGGAAACGGUAGCUAAUACCGCAUACCAUCAGAUGUGCCCAGAUGGGAUUAGCUAGUAGGUGGGGUAAUGGCUCAACUAGGCGACGAUCCCUAGCUGGUCUGAGAGGAUGACCAUCCACACUGGAACUGAGAAACGUUCCAGACUCCUACGGGUGGCAGCAGUGGGGAAUAUUGCCCAAGGGGCGCAAGCCUGAUGCAGCCAUGCCGCGGGUAUGAAGAAGGCCGUCGGGUUGUAAAGUACUUUCAGCGAGGAGGCGUUACCCGCAGAAGAAGCACCGGCUAACUCCGUGCCAGCAGCCGCGGUAAUUC